ACACGUAGGGGGCGAGCGUUGUUCGGAAUCAUUGGGCGUAAAGGGCGCGCAGGCGGCGAGGCAAGUCCGGUGUGAAAGUGCUCGGCUCAACCGAGUGAUGCGCUGGAAACUGCCCUGCUUGAGUACAGGAGGGGACGUCGGAAUUCCAGGUGUAGGGGUGAAAUCUGUAGAUAUCUGGAAGAACACCGGUGGCGAAGGCGGACGUCUGGCCAUGUACUGACGCUGAGGCGCGAAGGUGCGGGGAGCGAACAGGUUUAGAUACCCUGGUAGUCCGCACAGUAAACGAUGUGCACCAGGUGGCGGGGGGUAGCCCUCGGUACCGAAGCCAACGCAUUAAGUGCACCGCCUGGGGAGUAUGCUCGCAAGGGUGAAACUCAAAGGAAUCGACGGGG
Molecule: ribosomal RNA, 392 nt
Filed under: uncultured bacterium
Lineage: Bacteria
Description: partial 16S ribosomal RNA
Rfam family: Bacterial small subunit ribosomal RNA
Source: RNAcentral